AGUGGGAUAGCUGGGUCAAAUGGUGGUUCCAUUCCAAGUUUUCUGAGGAUUCUCCACACUGCUUUCCAAAGUGGUUACACCAAUUUGCAGUCCCUCCAGCAAU
Molecule: microRNA precursor, 103 nt
Filed under: Marmota monax (woodchuck)
Lineage: Eukaryota; Metazoa; Chordata; Mammalia; Rodentia; Sciuridae
Source: RNAcentral